Molecule: ribosomal RNA, 440 nt
Filed under: uncultured bacterium
Lineage: Bacteria
Description: partial 16S ribosomal RNA
Rfam family: Bacterial small subunit ribosomal RNA
Source: RNAcentral
CCUACGGGUGGCAGCAGUAGGGAAUCUUUCACAAUGGGCGAAAGCCUGAUGGAGCAACGCCGCGUGCAGGAUGAAGGCCUUCGGGUUGUAAACUGCUUUUAUAAGCGAGAAAUAUGAUGGUACCCUAUGAAUAAGCAUCGGCUAACUCCGUGCCAGCAGCCGCGGUAAUACGGAGGAUGCGAGCGUUAUCCGGAUUUAUUGGGUUUAAAGGGUGCGUAGGUUGUUUUUUAAGUCAGCGGUGAAAGUUUGUGGCUCAACCAUAAAAUUGCCGUUGAAACUGGAAGACUUGAGUGUGUUUGAGGUAGGCGGAAUGCGUGGUGUAGCGGUGAAAUGCAUAGAUAUCACGCAGAACUCCGAUUGCGAAGGCAGCUUACUAAGCCAUAACUGACACUGAAGCACGAAAGCGUGGGGAUCAAACAGGAUUAGAUACCCCAGUAGUC